RNAcentral lists this ribosomal RNA (245 nucleotides) under uncultured bacterium. Its description in RNAcentral is "partial 16S ribosomal RNA". It matches the Rfam family "Bacterial small subunit ribosomal RNA", at positions 524 to 768 of the family's 1533-position model. The record is from RNAcentral.
AACGUAGACCUCAAGCGUUAUCCGGAUUUAUUGGGCGUAAAGAGCAUGUAGGAGGUUUCGCGCGUCUUCUGUUAAAGCCCACCGCCCAACGGUGGAAGUGCAGGAGAUACGGCGAGACUAGAGGAUGUUAGAGGUACCAGGAACUCACGGUGUAGGGGUGAAAUCCGUUGAUAUCGUGGGGAACACCAAAGGCGAAGGCAAGGUACUGGGACAUUCCUGACUCUGAGAUGCGAAAGCGUGGGGAG